GCCAGUGUGGUCCAGUGGUGUUGAUGUUGAACUAGGACUCUCAGAGACCAGGGAUCAAAUCCCCACUCAGCCA
This is a non-coding RNA of Phrynosoma platyrhinos (Desert horned lizard), 73 nucleotides long. Lineage: Eukaryota; Metazoa; Chordata; Lepidosauria; Squamata; Phrynosomatidae. The record is from the annotation of a GenBank genome assembly.